GUAGGGAAUUUUCGUCAAUGGGCGCAAGCCUGAACGAGCAAUGCCGCGUGAGUGAGGAAGGUCUUCGGACUGUAAAGCUCUGUUGCCGGGGAAAAAGGGGAAAUGCAGGAAAUGGCAUUUCAUGGAUGGUACCCGGCCAGAAAGCCACGGCUAACUACGUGCCAGCAGCCGCGGUAAUACGUAGGUGGCGAGCGUUAUCCGGAAUGAUUGGGCGUAAAGGGUGCGCAGGCGGUCUGUUAAGUCUGAAGGCAAAGGGAUGAGCUCAACUCAUUUAUGAUUCAGAAACUGGCAGACUUGAGGACAGGAGAGGGCGGUGGAACUCCAUGUGUAGCGGUAAAAUGCGCAGAGAUAUGGAAGAACACCAGUGGCGAAGGCGGCCGCCUGGCCUGUGACUGACGCUGAGGCACGAAAGCGUGGGGAGCAAAUAGG
This 429-nucleotide ribosomal RNA is filed under the name uncultured bacterium. Its description in RNAcentral is "bacterial SSU rRNA". It matches the Rfam family "Bacterial small subunit ribosomal RNA", at positions 354 to 776 of the family's 1533-position model. The record is from RNAcentral.